RNAcentral lists this unclassified non-coding RNA (230 nucleotides) under Basidiomycota sp. RNAcentral describes it as "partial contains small subunit ribosomal RNA, internal transcribed spacer 1, and 5.8S ribosomal RNA". The stretch from base 1 to 47 matches the Rfam family "Eukaryotic small subunit ribosomal RNA", at positions 1785 to 1831 of the family's 1831-position model. The record is from RNAcentral. Lineage: Eukaryota; Fungi; Basidiomycota.
AAAGUCGUAACAAGGUUUCCGUAGGUGAACCUGCGGAAGGAUCAUUAGUGAAUAUUAGGGUGCGCUUGCUGCUCUCGAGCACAAGUGGCCUGACCUCCACUAUCCAACACUGUGAACUUUACUUGUGAUGUCUGGGCUUGCCCAGCGUCGCAAUUUUACUAUUAACAUCAGUCAAAGAAUGUCAUAAAUCAUAAUAAAAAAAACUUUCAACAACGGAUCUCUUGGCUCUC